GCAGAACGCGAAGAACCUUACCUGGCCUUGACAUCCAUGGAAUCCCGAAGAGAUUUGGGAGUGCCGCAAGGAACCAUGAGACAGGUGCUGCAUGGCUGUCGUCAGCUCGUGUCGUGAGAUGUUGGGUUAAGUCCCGCAACGAGCGCAGCCCUUGUUCUUAGUUGCCAUCAUUAAGUUGGGAACUCUAAGGAGACCGCCGGUGACAAACCGGAGGAAGGUGGGGAUGACGUCAAGUCAUCAUGGCCUUUAUGGCCAGGGCUACACACGUGCUACAAUGGCAAGUACAGAGGGAAGCCAACCGGCGACGGGGAGCUAAUCCCAGAAAACUUGUCUUAGUCCGGAUUGCAGUCUGCAACUCGACUGCAUGAAGUUGGAAUCGCUAGUAAUCGCAGAUCAGCAUUGCUGCGGUGAAUACGUUCCCGGGUCUUGUACACACCG
RNAcentral lists this ribosomal RNA (438 nucleotides) under uncultured bacterium. RNAcentral describes it as "bacterial SSU rRNA". It matches the Rfam family "Bacterial small subunit ribosomal RNA", at positions 954 to 1392 of the family's 1533-position model. The record is from RNAcentral.